UCGGUUAUCGAUGGGGAUGCGUUCCAUUAGUUAGUUGGCGGGGUAACGGCCCACCAAGACGACGAUGGAUAGGGGUUCUGAGAGGAAGGUCCCCCACAUUGGAACUGAGACACGGUCCAAACUCCUACGGGAGGCAGCAGUGAGGAAUAUUGGUCAAUGGACGAGAGUCUGAACCAGCCAAGUAGCGUGAAGGAUGACUGCCCUAUGGGUUGUAAACUUCUUUUAUAUGGGAAUAAAACAGGGUAUGCAUACCCUCUUGUAUGUACCAUAUGAAUAAGGAUCGGCUAACUCCGUGCCAGCAGCCGCGGUAAUACGGAGGAUCCGAGCGUUAUCCGGAUUUAUUGGGUUUAAAGGGAGCGUAGGUGGAUUGUUAAGUCAGUUGUGAAAGUUUGCGGCUCAACCGUAAAAUUGCAGUUGAAACUGGCAGUCUUGAGUACAGUAGAGGUGGGCGGAAUUCGUGGUGUAGCGGUGAAAUGCUUAGAUAUCACGAAGAACUCCGAUUGCGAAGGCAGCUCACUGGACUGCAACUGACACUGAUGCUCGAAAGUGUGGGUAUCAAACAGGAUUAGAUACCCUGGUAGUCCACACAGUAAACGAUGAAUACUCGCUGUUUGCGAUAUACAGUAA
Molecule: ribosomal RNA, 627 nt
Filed under: uncultured bacterium
Lineage: Bacteria
Description: bacterial SSU rRNA
Rfam family: Bacterial small subunit ribosomal RNA
Source: RNAcentral